This 492-nucleotide ribosomal RNA is filed under the name uncultured bacterium. RNAcentral's name for it is "partial 16S ribosomal RNA". It matches the Rfam family "Bacterial small subunit ribosomal RNA", at positions 29 to 507 of the family's 1533-position model. The record is from RNAcentral.
AGUGAACGCUGGCGGUAGGCCUAACACAUGCAAGUCGAACGGCAGCACAGUAAGAGCUUGCUCUUACGGGUGGCGAGUGGCGGACGGGUGAGGAAUACAUCGGAAUCUACUUUUUCGUGGGGGAUAACGUAGGGAAACUUACGCUAAUACCGCAUACGAUCUACGGGUGAAAGCAGGGGAUCUUCGGACCUUGCGCGAUUGAAUGAGCCGAUGCCGGAUUAGCUAGUUGGCGGGGUAAAGGCCCACCAAGGCGACGAUCCGUAGCUGGUGUGAGUGGAUGAUCGGCCGCACUAGAGCUGAGACACGGUCCAGGCGCCUACGGGAGGCCGCAGUGGGGAAUGUUGGGCAAUGGGCGCAAGCCUGAUCCAGCCAUAGCGCGUGGGUGAAGAAGACGUUCGGGUUGUAAAGCCCUUUUGUUGGUAGAGAAAAGCAUCAGCUUGAUACCCCGCGGUACUGGCGGUACCCAAAGAAUAAGCACCGGCUAACUUCGUG